CAGGACUCCAAUCCCUUUGCUUCCCUUGUCUUCUACUGGGAGCCUCUAAACCGGCAGGUGCGUGUGGAGGGCUCCGUGAAGAAGCUUCCUGAGGAGGAAGCCAGGGGCUACUUCCACUCCCGCCCCAAGAGCAGCCAGAUUGGGGCUGUGGUCAGUCAGCAGAGUUCUGUGAUCCCAGACCGGGAGUACCUGAGGAAGAAAAAUGAGGAACUGGAGCAGCUCUACCAGGAACAAGAAGUGCCAAAGCCGAGUUACUGG
Suncus etruscus (white-toothed pygmy shrew) is the source of this 258-nucleotide long non-coding RNA. RefSeq lists it as uncharacterized. NCBI's taxonomy places the organism in Eukaryota, Metazoa, Chordata, Mammalia, Eulipotyphla, Soricidae. The record is from RefSeq and is a predicted model, not a curated record. The transcript has 3 exons.